AACGAACGCUGGCGGCAUGGAUUAGGCAUGCAAGUCGAACGGGAGUAGCAAUACUCCAGUGGCGAAAGGGUGAGGAACACGUGAGCAACGUACCCCCAAGUUGGGAAUAGCUCCGGGAAACUGGAAUUAAUACCGAAUGUGGCCUCCGCCUACAUGGGCGGAUGGCUAAAGAUUUAUCGCUUGGGGAUCGGCUCGCGUCCCAUUAGCUUGUUGGCGGGGUAACGGCCCACCAAGGCGACGAUGGGUAGCUGGUCUGAGAGGACGACCAGCCACACUGGGACUGAGACACUGCCCAGACUCCUACGGGAGGCUGCAGUCGAGAAUCUUCCGCAAUGCGCGAAAGCGUGACGGAGCAAUGCCGCGUGCCGGAUGAAGGCCUUCGGGUCGUAAACGGCUGUCACCGGGGACGAAUCCAAUGACGGUACCCGGGGAGGAAGCCACGGCUAACUACGUGCCAGCAGCCGCGGUAAUACGUAGGUGGCGAGCGUUGUUCGGAUUUACUGGGCGUAAAGGGUCCGCAGGGGGCCGGCCAAGUCCGAUGUGAAAUCCCGGAGCUCAACUCCGGAACGGCAUUGGAAACUAGUCGGCUAGAGUCUCGGAGAGGAGAGUGGAAUUCCAGGUGUAGCGGUGGAAUGCGUAGAUAUCUGGAAGAACACCGAAGGCGAAGGCAGCUCUCUGGACGAGUACUGACCCUCAGGGACGAAAGCGUGGGGAGCAAACAGGAUUAGAUACCCUGGUAGUCCACGCUGUAAACGUUGUGUACUUGAUGUGGGGGGACUUGACCCCCUCCGCGUCGGAGCUAACGCGUUAAGUACACCGCCUGGAA
Molecule: ribosomal RNA, 826 nt
Filed under: uncultured bacterium
Lineage: Bacteria
Description: bacterial SSU rRNA
Rfam family: Bacterial small subunit ribosomal RNA
Source: RNAcentral